ACUCUCGGCAACGGAUAUCUCGGCUCACGCAUCGAUGAAGAACGUAGCAAAAUGCGAUACUUGGUGUGAAUUGCAGAAUCCCGUGAACCAUCGAGUCUUUGAAGGCAAGUUGGGCCCAAAGCCAUUUGGUUGAGGGCACGUCUGCCUGGGCGUCACGCAUCGUAUCGC
This 168-nucleotide ribosomal RNA is filed under the name Liabum barahonense. Its description in RNAcentral is "5.8S ribosomal RNA". It matches the Rfam family "5.8S ribosomal RNA". Rfam says of the family: 5.8S ribosomal RNA (5.8S rRNA) is a component of the large subunit of the eukaryotic ribosome. It is transcribed by RNA polymerase I as part of the 45S precursor that also contains 18S and 28S rRNA. The record is from RNAcentral. Lineage: Eukaryota; Viridiplantae; Streptophyta; Magnoliopsida; Asterales; Asteraceae.